GAUGAACGCUGACAGAAUGCUUAACACAUGCAAGUCAACCUGCAUCUCGGUUUUUUAAUUCAGUUAUGGGUGGCGGACGGGUGAGUAACGCGUAAAGAACCUGCCUCUCCGCUUGGGACAACAUUUGGAAACGAAUGCUAAUACCUGUAAUUAUGAUUAUCAGGCAUUUUAGACUUAUGAAAGCUAUAUGUGCUGUGAGAGAGCUUUGCGUCCCAUUAGCUAGUUGGAGAGGUAACGGCUCCCCACGGCGAUGAUGGGUAGCCGGUCUGGGAGGGUGAACGGCCACAGAGGGACAGGGGCAGGGCCCGUACUCCAACGGGAGGCAGGGGUGGGAAAUAUAGGACAAUGGACCAAGAGUGUGAUGCAGGAAUUCGGUGUGCACAAUGACGUUGUUCGGAAUGAAAAGUGCUUGCAGUUGAGAAGGAAAAAAUGACGGUACCAACAGAAGAAGUAACGGCUAAAUACGUG
Molecule: ribosomal RNA, 468 nt
Filed under: uncultured bacterium
Lineage: Bacteria
Description: partial 16S ribosomal RNA
Rfam family: Bacterial small subunit ribosomal RNA
Source: RNAcentral